CAGAAUUCAAGAUUUCAACUUCGGUUCUCUCCUUCUUUUCCCUUUUUCUUUUAUUUUUCUGUUUUUAAUUCAGCCAAUGAGUGGCUGAUUUCUUUAACUCUAGUUGAGGAUUGGUUGAAACUAAGGUUGUUUAAUGGGUUGUGAGAUCUGAACAUAAAUUAUUGUCUUUGGUUUUGUUCAAUAUUCAUGCAAUUGAUGCUUUAAUUA
Molecule: long non-coding RNA, 207 nt
Filed under: Manihot esculenta (cassava)
Lineage: Eukaryota; Viridiplantae; Streptophyta; Magnoliopsida; Malpighiales; Euphorbiaceae
Description: long non-coding RNA (MESC_LNC000366)
Source: RNAcentral